GCCACAAUUUUCUUGUCUGUUUGAGAACAAGUUCCAUUCGCAGCUCGAGCACUCCUGUUGAG
Molecule: transfer RNA, 62 nt
Filed under: Pelagomonas calceolata
Lineage: Eukaryota; Pelagophyceae; Pelagomonadales; Pelagomonadaceae
Source: RNAcentral